AGGAAAGCUCAGGCAGCCGCUUUCAAUGUAACAGUUGGGAGAGGAAAGUCCGGACACUCAAGGGCAAUGCACCGCGUGAAAGCGCGGGUACAGCGGGGCAAACCCGCUGUAACGGAUCAGUAUCACAGAAAAUAAACUACCUUUUUAGGGGCUUGCCCCAAAAAAAGGAAAAGGUGAAAAGGCGGUGUAAGAGACCACCGUGCAUUCAGUAAUGAAUGCUGCAAGAUAAACCCUGCAGGAGUGCAAGGCCGCGUAAAGUAUCACUCUUGGGCUGCCCGCCUGAAUCCGCAUUUAUUGCGGUGUGAUACAGGGUAGGCUGCAUCAGAUAAAUGGCUGUCCAAGCCCCUUUCAGGGGCGGGUACAGGAUCCGGCUUAUGAGCUUUCCGUUUA
RNAcentral lists this RNase P RNA (390 nucleotides) under Ignavibacteria bacterium. RNAcentral's name for it is "RNase P RNA component class A". It matches the Rfam family "Bacterial RNase P class A". Rfam says of the family: Ribonuclease P (RNase P) is a ubiquitous endoribonuclease, found in archaea, bacteria and eukarya as well as chloroplasts and mitochondria. Its best characterised activity is the generation of mature 5'-ends of tRNAs by cleaving the 5'-leader elements of precursor-tRNAs. Cellular RNase Ps are ribonucleoproteins. The record is from RNAcentral. Lineage: Bacteria; Pseudomonadati; Ignavibacteriota; Ignavibacteria.